This 1177-nucleotide ribosomal RNA is filed under the name Niphargus kolombatovici. RNAcentral's name for it is "eukaryotic LSU rRNA". It matches the Rfam family "Eukaryotic large subunit ribosomal RNA", at positions 1332 to 2198 of the family's 3401-position model. The record is from RNAcentral. Lineage: Eukaryota; Metazoa; Arthropoda; Malacostraca; Amphipoda; Niphargidae.
AAGGCUUCAGCAAGACACAGUCAGAACCAUAAGUCUCAAAGCCCCGACGAGUAGGGUGGCGUGCCGGUGCGCGUUGAAGGCCAAGACGUGAGUCAGGCUGGAGCCGCCGGUAGUGCAGAUCUUGGUGGUAGUAGCAAGUACUCUGGUGAACCAACCUGGAGCUGUGAGGUAUGGAUUAGGGUUCCAUGUCAACAGUGAUUGAACAUGGGUGAGUCGAACCUAAGCCAGCUGUGAAUGCAGUGACAUCCCAACAACGGGGAAUGCAUACUUACACCCCCAGGCACCUCUCUUGAAUUCUCUCUCUCGCACACACAAUGAUCACUACAAAGUGUGUUCUGGUUACGCUCUAAGCGUUGUGAAGAGAGAGAGCGUAAGAGAGGUGAGAGUAAGUGCCUUCCCCGCGUCUGGUUCUUUGUCCGGCGAAAGGGAAUGGGGACUUUUUUCCUUGACCGGUCCCGGCACCCUCGAUUGGCGCCAAUCAAUGGUCCAUGCAAAUGGAACCAGGCCACAGCCGUCGGCAGUCGCCCGAGGAAGAGUUUUCUUUUCUGCUUAACGCACGAGGUCAUCCCUGGAAACAGUUCGGCUGGCGAAAGGGUGUCCAGUUGCGGCAGAGCGCCACGACUGUCGUGCGCGUCUCGGUGUUCCUGCUGAUCCGUGAAAACGUGGUCGAGGGGAAUGCCUUGUAUCAACGAAACGUCCGACAAGUUCGGGACGGACCGUACCCUAUAUCCGCAUCUGGUCUCCAAGGUUCCUAGCCUCUGCAGAGUCUGACACAUGUAGGUAAGGGAAGUCGGCAAACUCGAUCCGUAACUUCGGGAAAAGGAUUGGCUCUGAGGGCCGAGCUGGGCCGGGCCUUGCCUGCAAAGCAGUACCUAUAGUGACCGGAGUUUCAGGAGUGCGAGGGGCUCUAGUAGCUGCUUGUGCGCGUGCGCGCGUGUGGGCACGAACGGGUCCACCACUCCGCUCCAACCACGAACGGCUGUGACGGCAAGGGCUCUGGGCGGGAGCGAUCUAUCCGUUCCCAGCGCGUCUGGGUGGCGGCGGUGCUCUGUCUGACCCAUACGGCUCCAGCGGCUAGCGGCUAACUCAGAACUGUCAUGGACCAAGGGAAUCCGACUGUCUAAUUAAAACAAAGCGUCGUGACGGCCCCUGUUGGGUGUUGACGCGACGUGAUUUC